UACCAGCACCCCGAGUGGUCGGGACGAUUAUUGGGCCUAAAGCAUCUGUAGCCGGUUUUACAAGUCCUCCGUUAAAUCCAGCUGCUUAACAGAUGGGCUGCGGAGGAUACUAUAAGACUAGGAGGCAUGAGAGGCAAGCGGUACUCAGUGGGUAGGGGUAAAAUCCGUUGAUCCAUUGAAGACCACCAGUGGCGAAGGCGGCUUGCCAGAAUGCGCUCGACGGUGAGGGAUGAAAGCUGGGGGAGCAAACCGG
Molecule: ribosomal RNA, 253 nt
Filed under: uncultured bacterium
Lineage: Bacteria
Description: partial 16S ribosomal RNA
Rfam family: Archaeal small subunit ribosomal RNA
Source: RNAcentral